CUAUAGAGUCAAGCAAAUAUUUAUUAUACAUACAAGAUCAUCAGAAUAUCAAAACAAUAAAUUAUGUGGACAAAUUGUUUGUGGUUACAGAAAACAAUGUAGAAGAAGAAAAUGGAUCUCACAACCAGACCUACCACUGAGCUCAGCUUCAUCUAGUAGAACAAGACUCAAAUCACAAAUGAAAUCACAUUGGUCAAUUUAAAUGGGACAAGCUAUGAAAUAGUUUCUUGUUUCAAACUGUAGCAACAAUUGAAACAAAAUUAGUCAAAUAUACAAAACCACUUCAUUGAACUAGAAAUAGAAUAAGUCCCAUCAUGCAUCUAGAAAUAGAACUCUCAAAGGACUUUAAAAAUGAGACACCCAAUGUCAGGACAGUUCUAGCAGUCUUCUAAUGUUGGUUAGAAAAGAAUUCACAUUUCCAUUUUGUGCACAUUAUAGACAACUGUCAAAAGGUCACUUAAAGUUUAACCAUUAGAUCAUUUCUUGAAUGCAUAGAUUGAAAUACACUCUCCCAAUUUUAGAACUACUCUAUUUAUUUUGUGCAUUUGAUCAAGUUCCAGGCCAUCAGGGUCUGACAAAAGAGAAGUGGAAAUAAGUGAUCGUUGAAUCUAUGAAUCCUAGUGGCUUCAAACAUUGACACAGUUAUGACUGCACAAUAUGAAAAUUUUAAGUUUGCUUCGAUGUUAAUUUUCGAACACAGUAUGUGUUGGUCCAUAAAUGUACAGAUAACAUUAGGAAAAAGGUCAUAAGCUAACCAUACAAGUAAAUGACCACCCCAAGUCUUAGUGCCUAGAUGUGGUCAAACCUGCAAAGGCCUCUUCAAUGCUCUAGAUAAAAUGUUUUAUCAUAAGUAGACUAUUACAUUGACUAUGUUUGUUGCUAUUAGCAUACAUCAACAUCACAUGCACACCAACCAUUGUUACAAGAUUUAGUAGAACAUAUUGAUAGAGAGGUUCAGGGAAAGUGUGGAUUAAAAACUGUUACCAGGGUAGCAUGGGGAAGGAAACAAUCUAAAAUCAAACUCAAGAAGCUCAAGUCUGAAGUAAUGUACAAUUCACAACAGGUGACAAUUCAGGCUUCUUGAUCCAAAAACAGUCAGCCAGAAGUCAGAGCACUCUCUAGCACUUAUUGUAGAGUUUAAAGAGUUGGCGAAAUUUAUGGAAUGUGCUGUCGAUGCAAUUCUUUUGUAUUUCUUUGACUUUGUGUCAAAUGCAAGUUAGGUUGAAAUUAAAAAAAAAAAAAAAAAAAAAA
Non-coding RNA from Biomphalaria pfeifferi, 1251 nucleotides. Lineage: Eukaryota; Metazoa; Mollusca; Gastropoda; Planorbidae. The record is from the annotation of a GenBank genome assembly.